Long non-coding RNA from Gasterosteus aculeatus aculeatus (three-spined stickleback), 1406 nucleotides. The record is from Ensembl. Lineage: Eukaryota; Metazoa; Chordata; Actinopteri; Perciformes; Gasterosteidae.
AAGCGAUGCCUCAUGUGAAAGGAUUGGCCAUCUUGGACGACUGUGAAGAGAACCACAAGCUGCUGAAGAAAUUACCUGACUGGAUCACACGAAGAUGGAGCAGAGUCGUCACGGAAAGGCCACAGAUGACAGGCAGCCCAAGAGAGCUAGAGCACUUCACACAAACACUAAAAGGAACAAUCCCACAGAAAAUGUUGAGAAAGUGUUCAGCACAAAGUCGAAGCCACCUUGUCCUAUCUGCAAAGAUGAGAUGCACGGCGUCGUAAAGUGCCCUACAUUUGCAGCAAAAUCUCUGGAAGAUAAGAAAGCCUUCAUACGGGAAAACAAUUUGUGCUACGGAUGUUUGAGAAAGGGACAUAACAGUAAGGAUUGCAAAACGCGACACACUUGUGUCAUAUGCAGCAGACGUCACCCCACCUGUCUACAUGAAGAGAGAGAGAACCGAUCUGUGGAAGCAAAAGAGAAACAGUCCACUUCCACAGAUAAAGACGUUAGUCAGGAAGAGAUCAAAGUGACGUCCCAUGCAGUGACGCAGCGCGUCUUUGCCACAUCAAGCAUCGUCCCUGUUUUCAUGUCAUCUGCAAAUGAACCACAGAAAGAAGUUAUAACGUAUGCUCUUCUAGACACGCAGAGUGAUUCGACAUUCGUCUUGGAAGACCUACUCGAAGAGCUGAACGUGGAGACAAAACCAGUACAGCUUAAAUUGAGCACCAUGACAGCUGUUCCAUGACAGUCUUUUGCUUGCUGUAGCAUAGCAAGCAAAAGUGUCUGUGGUCUACAAGUUCGAGGACUAGAGUCUGGAAAACAGAUUCAGCUGCGCCAAGCCUAUACUCGUGGUUUCAUCCCGGUCGACAAGUCCUACAUUCCGACUUCCGAAACAGCGCUGCUCUGGCCUCAUCUAAAGCAUCUAGCAAACAAACUUCCACUGCUGAAGGACUGUGAGGUGGGACUGUUAAUUGGAAACGAUUGCCCGUUGGCGCUAGCCCCCCAGGAAGUCGUCAUAGGAGGCGAAAAUGAUCCAUUCGCCCAGAGAACGGAACUCGGCUGGAGCAUCGUAGGCUAAUCCAAUCCACAUCUGGAUCGCCAGGGAAACCAGAGGUUCGUCCAUCGAGUGACAGUGAAGGAAAUACCAGCGCCAUCAACCAAUGACGUGCUGAAGGUCUUGGAAUCAGACUUCAAUGAAAGGAAGUAUGCAGAUAAAGACAAGUAUGUGUCACAAGACGACGUUCGCUUCAUUCAGCUCCUGGGUGACAACAUAACUCAAAGGAAAGAUGGACACUAUGAAAUGCCCCUUCCUUUCAAGAGUACAGAGCCACCUCUGCUACCAGACAACAAGAAGCUGGCAACAGUUCUACUGCAGCACCUAAAGAAAAGAUUGAAAAAUAACGAGCGGUAUGAAGAACCGU